ACCUCAAGCACACCUAUGUCGCCGUUGAAGACAAAUCGAGAGUUCGCGCCGGAAAAAGAGCUAUGAGUUCCAUCAGUUUCAGGUUGUUGGUAGAGGUGUACCUACGGAGUCAGAUCCAGUGACACACGACGGACAUCAGUUUUUAUGAAUACGAUGAAGAAAAUCCAAAAAUAAUAACCAAAUGCGAGCAUCAUUUUCAUUUGUCAUGCAUUCUUGAAUGGAUGGAAAGAAGCGACACUUGGCCCGUCUGUGAUCAGGGGAUGCACCGACUCUUGCCAUCAAAUGUAACAACGUGGUACAUGCAUUGCCAUCUGGUUGAGUUAGUCGGUUGAAAGUCCUGUAUGAAUACAUCAGUUUAAACAAAUCCCAUUCUGGUAGUGAAGGCGGCGGUAAUGACAGUAGUAGUGCCGAUUGUGGUGGUGGUUGGGAUGUGGAGGUGGUGGCGAUAUAAUGGCCAUGGGUAACGUUGUCCUUUUUGGUGCUACUGCUGGAGAAGGGCAAUCUGCAACUACACUUAUCAAGGUUGACUACACUAUUCGCAAGGUCGGCUCACAAGGAAAAAGGUGGUAGCUGUUGCGGUUGGAGUGGUGAGCGUUGCGGUUGGACUCGGCAUACCGAUUUUCUACGGAACGCAGAUUGAUAGUGUUGUGAAAAGCCUAAGUAUUAUUAGAAUUGCAAAACUAUGUAUGGGUGUGUUUGGAUGUGUGUUGAAACUGUAUAAAACUUCAUCGUCUUCUUCGUUCAAGCAGCUCGUACCUCAAUCGUCCACAUCCGCAUCGACAUUUUACGGAGGCUCCGGAAAUGGUCACGGUUCCAGAUCCUGAUAAUUUUAACCUCACUACGUCCUAUUCGAUGUAUUCUCGAGGCGGUUACGGAGCGCUUUGGCCUGUACGUUAUCCGUCUGCUGAUGAGAUGAUUGAUGAGCCGACUGAUGAUGUUCCGAGAUCCAGAGGAGGUGUAAGCCUUUCUGUUACGAUUCGGUUUAGGCCUUUGAGGUAAUUUGACUGAUUUUAGUUAGUUGCAGAUCUUUUUUGAAUUGAGGUUAGUGGUAAAUGAAGUGUUUGUUUUAGUUUGUAUGGUAUUAAGACAAUGUUGUGUUAAUCUGGUGAAUUUGUGGUGAUUGUAGUGAGAGAGACUACAUCUAAGGCAUGAGUCAUGUGAGUAGCCAAGAUAUAGACAACACCAUGACCAUACAAGCAAAGCCAGGUCUACUAAUUUUUGAAACAAAUGUACAAAGAGAAAAUGGAAAGUCUAGAAUCCAACCAUGUGUAGGGUUAGAGUUUGACAUAACAGAAGCAGCCCAAGAAUACCAUACUUAUGCGACUCAAGCCAGACUCAAAAUUAGAAUUGGUCAACUUCAACAAGAUCUGCAAAGUCAGAAAUUGAGGAGUAAUACUUUUUGACUUAACGCAAGUGCGAUAUUUACGGAGCACAUGUCAAACCUACAAAUAAAACAACUAAUGUUGUAUAUAAAGAGAUCUUCAAUGAGUUAA
RNAcentral lists this long non-coding RNA (1493 nucleotides) under Helianthus annuus (common sunflower). Lineage: Eukaryota; Viridiplantae; Streptophyta; Magnoliopsida; Asterales; Asteraceae. The record is from RNAcentral.